AACACAGUGAGCAGGAGAGAUAACACGUAUCAAGAUGAAGAUGUUCGGAAGGACGUUGCUGUUCGCCUUUUCUCUGCUGGUGUUCGCGUUGUCUGCGGUGGCCCAGUCCAACAAUGGCCGCGGACCCAACUCGCUCCUUGGCUUCAGGAGCAGAUUCGGCCACAGGGGGAGACUUGGACUUUUGAGGCCUCACUUUGAUAACCGGUUCUGGCACGAUUUUGACAUCCAUGGCUUCACGAGAACCGGAUAAAAGGCAGCCAUAAGAAACAAGGCGUUUGAAUCCAGCCCACCAAACCUCAGAGAUUUCAUAGAGAAAAUAAGGCCGUUUUAGGAAAAUUUCCCUACUUAUUGAAGGGAAUUUAGUAUUCUUUGUCCUACAUAUAUCAAGUUUCAGUAUACAUAACUUUGAUAUCGAAAAAGGCAAUUUAGAAAGGAGUAGAUUCUGCUUUUCCUAAAAAAGUUGAAAUCUGCACGAUCUUUCGCCCAUUAAUCUGCCUGUACUUGUCUAUGUUUCUAUAUUUUCUCCCUGUGUGUCUCUUUUCAUUCUUUUUAAUGAAAAUAUUGAUGAGAUGUAUCAUAGGAGAUCAUUCCGAAGAAAUGUUUAUGUCGUGUUUAUUAUAUGUGAUAUACAAAUGAUGUUAUUAUAUCUUUGUUAUUUAUAAAUAUACGUGUGAUUUUUAUUGUGAAUGUUUAUACGUAUGUGGAUACUUGUAUGAUAUAAAGUAUAAAAUAAGCCAAAAAUGUGUUUAUACGAUAGAUAUCAAAUUAGUGUAUAUACUGCAA
Penaeus vannamei (Pacific white shrimp) is the source of this 783-nucleotide long non-coding RNA. RefSeq lists it as uncharacterized. The record is from RefSeq and is a predicted model, not a curated record. Lineage: Eukaryota; Metazoa; Arthropoda; Malacostraca; Decapoda; Penaeidae.